RNAcentral lists this ribosomal RNA (253 nucleotides) under uncultured microorganism. Its description in RNAcentral is "partial 16S ribosomal RNA". It matches the Rfam family "Bacterial small subunit ribosomal RNA", at positions 524 to 776 of the family's 1533-position model. The record is from RNAcentral.
UACGGAGAGUGCGAGCGUUAAUCGGAAUUACUGGGCGUAAAGCGUGCGCAGGCGGUUUGUUAAGCGAGAUGUGAAAGCCCCGGGCUCAACCUGGGAACCGCAUUUCGAACUGGCAAACUAGAGUCUUGUAGAGGGGGGUAGAAUUCCAGGUGUAGCGGUGAAAUGCGUAGAGAUCUGGAGGAAUACCGGUGGCGAAGGCGGCCCCCUGGACAAAGACUGACGCUCAGGCACGAAAGCGUGGGGAGCAAACAGG